CUUACUAUGCAUGAGCUAGACGCACAGUAUACCGUAGCUUGCUACACCAUAGACUGUGAGUUGCGAACGGGUGAGUAACGCGUAGGUAACCUACCUAUUAGAGGGGGAUAACUAUUGGAAACGAUAGCUAAUACCGCAUAACAGUAUGUAACACAUGUUAGAUGCUUGAAAGAUGCAAUUGCAUCGCUAGUAGAUGGACCUGCGUUGUAUUAGCUAGUAGGUAGGGUAAAGGCCUACCUAGGCAACGAUACAUAGCCGACCUGAGAGGGUGAUCGGCCACACUGGGACUGAGACACGGCCCAGACUCCUACGGGAGGCAGCAGUAGGGAAUCUUCGGCAAUGGGGGGAACCCUGACCGAGCAACGCCGCGUGAGUGAAGAAGGUUUUCGGAUCGUAAAGCUCUGUUGUUAAGGAAGAACGAGUGUGAGAAUGGAAAGUUCAUGCUGUGACGGUACUUAACCAGAAAGGGACGGCUAACUACGUGCCAGCAGCCGCGGUAAUACGUAGGUCCCGAGCGUUGUCCGGAUUUAUUGGGCGUAAAGCGAGCGCAGGCGGUUAGAAAAGUCUGAAGUGAAAGGCAGUGGCUCAACCAUUGUAGGCUUUGGAAACUGUUUAACUUGAGUGCAGAAGGGGAGAGUGGAAUUCCAUGUGUAGCGGUGAAAUGCGUAGAUAUAUGGAGGAACACCGGUGGCGAAAGCGGCUCUCUGGUCUGUAACUGACGCUGAGGCUCGAAAGCGUGGGGAGCGAACAGGAUUAGAUACCCUGGUAGUCCACGCCGUAAACGAUGAGUGCUAGGUGUUAGGUCCUUUCCGGGACUUAGUGCCGCAGCUAACGCAUUAAGCACUCCGCCUGGGGAGUACGACCGCAAGGUUGAAACUCAAAGGAAUUGACGGGGGCCCGCACAAGCGGUGGAGCAUGUGGUUUAAUUCGAAGCAACGCGAAGAACCUUACCAGGUCUUGACAUCCCAGUGACCGCCCUAGAGAUAGGGUUUCCCUUCGGGCACUGGUGACAGGUGGUGCAUGCUUGUCGUCAGCUCGUGUCGUGAGAUGUUGGUAGUCCCGCAACGAGCGCACUCCCUUAUUGUUAGUUGCAUUCAUGAGUGGGCACCUCUAGCCGGAGAAC
Molecule: ribosomal RNA, 1123 nt
Filed under: Streptococcus anginosus
Lineage: Bacteria; Bacillati; Bacillota; Bacilli; Lactobacillales; Streptococcaceae
Description: bacterial SSU rRNA
Rfam family: Bacterial small subunit ribosomal RNA
Source: RNAcentral